RNAcentral lists this ribosomal RNA (624 nucleotides) under Ciliophora sp. RNAcentral's name for it is "SSU rRNA". It matches the Rfam family "Eukaryotic small subunit ribosomal RNA", at positions 341 to 980 of the family's 1831-position model. The record is from RNAcentral. Lineage: Eukaryota; Ciliophora.
CUACCAUGGCGUUUACGGGUAACGGAGGAUUAGGGUUCGAUUCCGGAGAGGGAGCCUGAGAAACGGCUACCACAUCUAAGGAAGGCAGCAGGCGCGUAAAUUACCCAAUCCUGACUCAGGGAGGUAGUGACAAGAAAUAACGGACCGGCCCAUCGGGCUCGGGAUUGCAAUGAGCCGAAUUUACACCCCUUAGCGAGGAUCGAUUGGAGGGCAAGUCUGGUGCCAGCAGCCGCGGUAAUUCCAGCUCCAAUAGCGUAUAUUAAAGUUGUUGCAGUUAAAAAGCUCGUAGUUGGAUUUCUGGGAGGGUGCCAAUGUCCGCCGACGUGCGUGCGCAGCGGCGCCCUUCCAUCCUUCUGUUAACGCCUCUUGGCAUUCAUUUGCUGGUGGCGGGCUCAGAUAUUUUACCUUGAGAAAAUUAGAGUGUUUCAGGCAGGCUAGGCCGGAAUACAUUAGCAUGGAAUAAUGGAAUAGGACUACGGUCUCUUUGUUGGUUUGAGGGACUGCAGUAAUGAUUAAUAGGGAUAGUUGGGGGCAUUAGUAUUUAAUUGUCAGAGGUGGAAUUCUCAGAUUUGUUAAAGACUAACUUAUGCGAAAGCAUUUGCCAAGGAUGUUUUCAUUAAUCAA